This 552-nucleotide ribosomal RNA is filed under the name Clostridium tyrobutyricum. RNAcentral describes it as "bacterial SSU rRNA". It matches the Rfam family "Bacterial small subunit ribosomal RNA", at positions 664 to 1217 of the family's 1533-position model. The record is from RNAcentral. Lineage: Bacteria; Bacillati; Bacillota; Clostridia; Eubacteriales; Clostridiaceae.
GAAUUCCUAGUGUAGCGGUGAAAUGCGUAGAGAUUAGGAAGAACACCAGUGGCGAAGGCGAUUCUCUGGACUGUAACUGACGCUGAGGCACGAAAGCGUGGGUAGCAAACAGGAUUAGAUACCCUGGUAGUCCACGCCGUAAACGAUGAGUACUAGGUGUAGGAGGUAUCGACCCCUUCUGUGCCGCAGUAAACACAUUAAGUACUCCGCCUGGGAAGUACGAUCGCAAGAUUAAAACUCAAAGGAAUUGACGGGGGCCCGCACAAGCAGCGGAGCAUGUGGUUUAAUUCGAAGCAACGCGAAGAACCUUACCUGGACUUGACAUCCCCUGAAUAACCUAGAGAUAGGCGAAGCCCUUCGGGGCAGGGAGACAGGUGGUGCAUGGUUGUCGUCAGCUCGUGUCGUGAGAUGUUAGGUUAAGUCCUGCAACGAGCGCAACCCUUAUUGUUAGUUGCUAACAUUCAGUUGAGCACUCUAACGAGACUGCCGCGGUUAACGCGGAGGAAGGUGGGGAUGACGUCAAAUCAUCAUGCCCCUUAUGUCCAGGGCUAC